CUCGUGCGUUUUUGGUUUCUAAUGUUAAGUUUGUUUGUUCACCAAGAUUUUAAUUUUUUUUUUAUGAAUUCAUUGUCUUGGAAAACACAACACACAAAAAAGAAACUGCAACAGAGUGAAAAUUCUUUAUUCAGAGAUCAUAUAUUGAGAGACGAAUAUAAUUGUUAGUUUUUCAAGUCCUGCCUAUAAUAUUUCUCUGAAGCAUUUUCUGUACACAAGUGUUCCCCACAAGUUUCUUCAUGGGCCUCUGCCCAAGAAUACUUGGCUUCUUGAGUGCUCGUUGAUCCUCUUUAGAGGGAGGUUGCCGAGGGAGUCUCUCGCGGGACCUCUGGCCGAGAAAGUCUCCCGGGCUAUUUGUGGCCUUCUCUGCUUUGACCCUCAAACUAUGUUCUUAGCUUUUGGGCUUAACCUUGAUGCGCUUUUGUGAUUGCGCCAAUGUUAGUAUGCAUAUUAAUUGGGUACUUCAGCUCGAAACUUUCCCUCACGGUCUCCUUUGGGUCUCCCUCUAGCUCUAGGUCUGGUUUACUGAGCCUUGGUCCAUAUACACAUCAGUUGUAAAUCACACUACCCUUGCUUAUGAGACUUCAACGUGUAGUAUGUUUCGUGUAGCUGUUUAAAGAAUGUAUGUUUAUAGCAGCAGAACGUUUUAACCAAGAAUUGGGCUUGAUUAAGUCCUUAUCUUUGAUUUGAUAAUCUUCUAGGUCCGCUAGUAUAUAGUUUAAGAAGGGUAGUUAUUUGCUUUCAGGUAUAGGUCGAGCGGUCGGGCAAACGAUAUACCGGUGUCAGUCCGGUAGAUCGUGAAUUCGAUUAUCCUUCUAUGAAGUUAGGCGAAGCCUCAAACCUGCGAUUUAUCUUUCCUAUCGUAUUCAAGAACACAAGCACUGAGGAUUGCAUAAGGGCGAUCAUUGCAAGAAAGAUAGCUAUUUAAUAUUAUUAAGGUUGUCUCUUGUCUGCCCAUGGAUUCAGUAGCAGUUUGAAAGGUUGACCUAUUCGAAAAUCUCCGGAUCUAUGCUUAUUUUCAACUCCCUGAAGCAUUUCGUCGCUUACUACGCCCUUCCUCGUCUCUGGGUGAUCAGCAGCCAAUUUAACAUCAUGGAUAGUUGAGGGUCCAUACACUUACAGGCACAUCAGCUAAGGGUUCAUGAAUAUGGGAUCCAACUGAAAUGGAGCAGUAAACUCAAAACUUUUAAAGCGGCCACCUGAAACUUACCUGGCAGUUCUGCUUUCAGAGCAUAAUCAACCUCUGUUUGACACCAAUCGACAGUGCUCUUGCUGGAACUCCGAA
Molecule: long non-coding RNA, 1285 nt
Organism: Diospyros lotus (date-plum)
Lineage: Eukaryota; Viridiplantae; Streptophyta; Magnoliopsida; Ericales; Ebenaceae
Exons: 3
Source: RefSeq, a predicted model, not a curated record